AUUGAACGCUGGCGGCAUGCCUUACACAUGCAAGUCGAACGGCAGCACGGGAGCUUGCUCCUGGUGGCGAGUGGCGAACGGGUGAGUAAUACAUCGGAACGUACCCUGAAGUGGGGAGUAACGUAGCGAAAGUUACGCUAAUACCGCAUAUUCUGUGAGCAGGAAAGAGGGGGAGUCGCAAGACCUCUUGCUUUAGGAGCGGCCGAUGUCGGAUUAGCUAGUUGGUGAGGUAAAGGCUCACCAAGGCGACGAUCCGUAGCGGGUCUGAGAGGAUGAUCCGCCACACUGGGACUGAGACACGGCCCAGACUCCUACGGGAGGCAGCAGUGGGGGAAUUUUGGACAAUGGGCGCAAGCCUGAUCCAGCCAUGCCGCGUGAGUGAAGAAGGCCUUCGGGUUGUAAAGCUCUUUCGGUGGGGAAGAAAUUGCUUCGGUUAAGUACCUGGAGUAGAUGACGGUACCCGCAUAAGAAGCACCGGCUAACUACGUGCCAGCAGCCGCGGUAAU
This 506-nucleotide ribosomal RNA is filed under the name uncultured bacterium. RNAcentral describes it as "bacterial SSU rRNA". It matches the Rfam family "Bacterial small subunit ribosomal RNA", at positions 30 to 524 of the family's 1533-position model. The record is from RNAcentral.